This 835-nucleotide ribosomal RNA is filed under the name Neofusicoccum parvum. RNAcentral describes it as "partial large subunit ribosomal RNA". It matches the Rfam family "Eukaryotic large subunit ribosomal RNA", at positions 71 to 924 of the family's 3401-position model. Lineage: Eukaryota; Fungi; Ascomycota; Dothideomycetes; Botryosphaeriales; Botryosphaeriaceae. The record is from RNAcentral.
GGGAUUGCCUUAGUAACGGCGAGUGAAGCGGCAAUAGCUCAAAUUUGAAAGCUGGCCCCUUCGGGGUCCGCGUUGUAAUUUGUAGAGGAUGAUUCGGCGAGGGCUCCCGUCUAAGUCCCUUGGAACAGGGCGUCAUAGAGGGUGAGAAUCCCGUAUGUGAUGGGCUGCCUUAGCCAUGUGAAUCUCCUUCGACGAGUCGAGUUGUUUGGGAAUGCAGCUCUAAAUGGGAGGUAAAUUUCUUCUAAAGCUAAAUACCGGCCAGAGACCGAUAGCGCACAAGUAGAGUGAUCGAAAGAUGAAAAGCACUUUGGAAAGAGAGUUAAAAAGUACGUGAAAUUGUUGAAAGGGAAGCGCUUGCAGCCAGACUUGUCCGCAGUUGCUCAGCUUGUCUCCUGACAGGCGUACUCUUCUGCGGCCAGGCCAGCAUCAGUUCGGGCGGUCGGAUAAAGACCUGGGGAAUGUAGCUCCUCUCGGGGAGUGUUAUAGCCCUGGGUGCAAUGCGGCCAGCCUGGACUGAGGAUCUCGCUUCGGCUAGGAUGCUGGCGUAAUGGCUGUAAGCGGCCCGUCUUGAAACACGGACCAAGGAGUCUAACAUCUAUGCGAGUGUUUGGGUGUCAAACCCAUGCGCGUAAUGAAAGUGAACGGAGGUGGGAACCCUCACGGGUGCACCAUCGACCGAUCCUGAUGUCUUCGGAUGGAUUUGAGUAAGAGCAUAGCUGUUGGGACCCGAAAGAUGGUGAACUAUGCCUGAAUAGGGUGAAGCCAGAGGAAACUCUGGUGGAGGCUCGCAGCGGUUCUGACGUGCAAAUCGAUCGUCAAAUUUGGGUAUAGGGGC